Carassius carassius (crucian carp) is the source of this 494-nucleotide long non-coding RNA. RefSeq lists it as uncharacterized. The record is from RefSeq and is a predicted model, not a curated record. NCBI's taxonomy places the organism in Eukaryota, Metazoa, Chordata, Actinopteri, Cypriniformes, Cyprinidae. The transcript is spliced from 4 exons.
CUCGAUGUACGCGCGCGAGUCGCCAAUGAGCCAAGGGAUGAAGAAGUCGUCAGGGCAAGUUGUGGUGGAGUGAUGGUUGAGAGUGCAAUCUAUUCUGCUUACCCGACUCAUGCAGACUUCUGUCCUGAUGUUUGGCUGUAGUCCUUCCAUCAUCCACUCUUCUGCAACCGGUCUAUUUAUGGAGACCACCAUGAUCUAAUCGAUACAGAUCUAGUUGUCUCUUCUCCCACAAACUCCUCUUUCAGAUUUUGAGCGGAUCUCCUUCAUUCUGCCGCCAGCUCACCAGAACCUCAGGAUGCACCAGCUGUGGAUAUUACAGGCCAAACUUUGGACACCCUAGGACAACAUCCUUAGCACAGAUCUACCUAUAGCCCUCCAUCAUUCCCACAUCCAUCUUGCAACAGUUUCAUUAAGUGCAGUCCAUAACCAGUUCACGGUCUACACAUUGUCCAUUGCAAAUGUUAUGGAUUAUUCUAAUAGAGAUCUUUCUAUUA